This 466-nucleotide ribosomal RNA is filed under the name uncultured bacterium. RNAcentral's name for it is "partial 16S ribosomal RNA". It matches the Rfam family "Bacterial small subunit ribosomal RNA", at positions 28 to 507 of the family's 1533-position model. The record is from RNAcentral.
GAUGAACGCUGGCGGCGUGCUUAACACAUGCAAGUCGAACGAUGAAGCCCAGCUUGCUGGGUGGAUUAGUGGCGAACGGGUGAGUAACACGUGAGUAACCUGCCCUUAACUCUGGGAUAAGCCUGGGAAACUGGGUCUAAUACCGGAUAGGAGCGCCUACCGCAUGGUGGGUGUUGGAAAGAUUUAUCGGUUUUGGAUGGACUCGCGGCCUAUCAGCUUGUUGGUGAGGUACUGGCUCACCAAGGCGACGACGGGUAGCCGGCCUGAGAGGGUGACCGGCCACACUGGGACUGAGACACGGCCCAGACUCCUACGGGAGGCAGCAGUGGGGAAUAUUGCACAAUGGGCGAAAGCCUGAUGCAGCGACGCCGCGUGAGGGAUGACGGCCUUCGGGUUGUAACCCUCUUUCAGUAGGGAAGAAGCGAAAGUGACGGUACCUGCAGAAGAAGCACCGGCUAACUACGUG